Molecule: long non-coding RNA, 1645 nt
Organism: Gouania willdenowi (blunt-snouted clingfish)
Lineage: Eukaryota; Metazoa; Chordata; Actinopteri; Blenniiformes; Gobiesocidae
Source: Ensembl
UUCAUGUGGAUAUGGAGGUGAGCUGUAUUUAUUGUUUGUAUAAGAGUUUUGCCCCUAACUGUUAGAAGUGAGGCCAAAUGUCUGUUGUGUUUAUGUUGCAGAGUCAGAAAUUGGAUCGCCCCGCUCUUGACACUUCUGUUAUAGACAGCCCAUCUACGCCUUUGUUUUCCUCCUCCUCUGACAGCAACAUCAGCUCUCCAACACCCUUCAAUUCUCCAAAACCUAAACACAAAGAUUGUUCUGGCGCCACUAAAAAGCUUCGGCUCAUUAGUCCAGAGUAUGUCAUAUACACUGACACAGAACUAGAACUAGCAAGAAGUGCUUACUUUGAAAAGCAGCGUGCUGGACAACACGAAGACUACACCAUGCCAAAAGACUUGCGCUGUAGACUCAUUAGGAAUACAGUAACAGGCAUGAUUGCUAUGAAAAGAGCGUCCGAGGAUGAUUUUAAGUACCCAGGCUCCCAUGAACUGACUGCCAUGGCUAAGCGUCUAGUAGAAUACUACCCAAUGCUGUGAGACAAGUCUACGUCCAAUACACCUGAAUGGGAAAUGGUGAAGAAGCAGUUGAUGAAAAGGGUUCAGAAUGUGACAACUCCAAAAAAGAAGCAAGGUCCAACCCCAUCAAGAAAAGGACCUAGAAGCCUCAAAUUCCAGAGCAGCCAGGCGACGUGCACUGAAGAGAGUGAUGAACCUUUCUCCUCCCCUGCUUCAGUCUCUUCAGCUGCUUCAUCAGUCGCCUCGUCGUCUUCCUCCACUGUGAUCUUAGAGAAGUCAACUCCUUCUACAAGUACUUCCCAAGAGGUGGAUCUCUUUAGUGCUAGAGAGAGCCCACAGAGCCAAGCGAGACACUAUAAAACUCUGCAGGAUUUGUACAAAACUAAGAACAAACCCAACAAGGAAGAUGUAUCCCAGCUGCUGGAAUUGGAGUUCCAAUCUAGACGAGCUUUCAUUGACUCUGAUGUGAUGAAGGAACAGGACAGGCCUAUGAAGAUACUGCAGGCUUAUCCAUGUUUUAAAGAACUUGGCCAUAUCAUCGAUGAACUCCAGCGAAUCCUUGAUAAAGGAAACCCCUUCUUCACAAUGGAGCUGAAGAAACGUUGGCUGAGAUUUUUUAACCAGGCACAGUUUUAUGGGGUGUUCAAAAAAAUAAUAGGACCACCACUGCAGGACCAAGGUAAGGAUGAUUUAUUUGCUGUUACCCACAUACACAAAGACCUAAAAUGAUUAGGUUAAGAAUUAAACAGUAAAGAAUGCACUUGCUGUCCUGAAAGUACUGCCUCAGAUGUUCCCUUCGCAUGUAGCUCUGCCGAAGAGGUUGGGACACCCAAGUGAUGCUUUGAUUCACAUUUUGAAGGUAAGGUAAAUAUACAUAUACACACACACACACACACACAUAUAAUUAGAAUAUCAUGAAAAAGUUCAUUUAUUUCUGUAAUUCAACUUAAAAUGUGAAACUAAUAUGUGAUAUAGACUCAACAUGCAAAGUGACAUAAUGUCAAGCCUUUAUUUUUUAUAAUUUGGAUGAUUAUGGCUUACAGUCUAUUUUCAAAAUAAUCAAAUUUUAUGAGAUAUUUAAUUUGGGGUUUUUACAAGCUGAGCCAUAAUAAUCAAAAUUAUAACAAAUAAAGGCUAUACAUAUCUCA